GAUGAAGAACGCAGCGAAAUGCGAUAAGUAAUGUGAAUUGCAGAACUCAGUGAAUCAUCGAGUCUUUGAACGCACAUUGCGCCCCCUGGUAUUCCGGGGGGCAUGCCUGUCCGAGCGUCAUUGCUGCCCUCAAGCACGGCUUGUGUGUUGGGCCGUCGUCCCCCUCCUAGGGGACGGGCCCGAAAGGCAGCGGCGGCACCGCGUCCGGUCCUCGAGCGUAUGGGGCUUCGUCACCCGCUCCGUAGGCCCGGCCGGCGCUUGCCGACGACCAUCAAUCUCUUUCUCCAGGUUGACCUCGGAUCAGGUAGGGAUACCCGCUGAACUUAAGCAUAUCAAUAAGCGGAGGA
This 347-nucleotide unclassified non-coding RNA is filed under the name soil metagenome. RNAcentral describes it as "partial contains 5.8S ribosomal RNA, internal transcribed spacer 2, and large subunit ribosomal RNA". The stretch from base 1 to 120 matches the Rfam family "5.8S ribosomal RNA", at positions 35 to 154 of the family's 154-position model. The record is from RNAcentral.